Molecule: long non-coding RNA, 324 nt
Organism: Schistocerca gregaria
Lineage: Eukaryota; Metazoa; Arthropoda; Insecta; Orthoptera; Acrididae
Exons: 3
Source: RefSeq, a predicted model, not a curated record
UCCAUUGCAAUGACCGACCUUAAAGUGUCAGACAACAUUCCUAACAAGAAGCUUAAAGAGCUUGAACUUUUGCACGAAGAUGAUGAAUUUGAAGAAUUUGAAGAUGAAUGGAAUCCGCAAGGCGAUGAGGAAGAAGAUAACCUAUGGGAGACUGAUUGGGAUGUCGAAGAUGUGACUGAUGAUUUCUCUAAACAGUUACGAGCUGAAUUGGAGAGAAGUUCAAACCAGAUGACGAACUAAAUUGAGCUCAGCCUUUUUAUCAAAUCCUGAAAAGUGUCGAAUUUGCUCUGUCUAAUCUCUUCUACUAAUAAUCCUAUGUAUAUA